UGUUCGAGCGUCAUCUAACCCCUCAAGCACCGCUUGGUGUUGGGCGCUUGUCCCCGCCCCCGCGCGCGGACUCGCCUCGAAGACAUUGGCGGCCUGUGUAUUGGCUACGAGCGCAGCAGACCCGCGCCUCGUCCCCUCUCCGCGCAGGCGCCCACGAAGCGCAACCCCCCCAAUUUUGACCUCGGAUCAGGUAGGGAUACCCGCUGAACUUAAGCAUAUCAAUAAGCGGAGGAAAAGAAACCAACAGGGAUUGCCCCAGUAACGGCGAGUGAAGCGGCAACAGCUCAAAUUUGAAAUCUGGCUCCCUUGGGCGCCCGAGUUGUAAUUUGCAGAGGGUGCUUUGGCGUCGGCAGCGGCCUAAGUUCCUUGGAACAGGGCGUCACAGAGGGUGAGAACCCCGUACGUGGCCGCCCGCCUUCGCCGUGUAAAGCCCCUUCGACGAGUCGAGUUGUUUGGGAAUGCAGCUCUAAAUGGGAGGUAAAUUCCUUCUAAAGCUAAAUACUGGCCAGAGACCGAUAGCGCACAAGUAGAGUGAUCGAAAGAUGAAAAGCACUUUGGAAAGAGAGUCAAAAAGCACGUGAAAUUGUUGAAAGGGAAGCGCUUGCAGCCAGACUUGCCCGCGGUCGAUCUUCUUCCGCGGUCAGGCCAGCAUCAGUCUGGGCGGUCGGAUAAAGGCCUCGGGAAUGUAGCUCUCUCCGGGGAGUGUUAUAGCCCGGGGCGCCAUGCGGCCAGCCAGGACUGAGGUCCGCGCAUCUGCUA
RNAcentral lists this ribosomal RNA (759 nucleotides) under Dothideomycetes sp. genotype 383. RNAcentral's name for it is "eukaryotic LSU rRNA". The stretch from base 177 to 759 matches the Rfam family "Eukaryotic large subunit ribosomal RNA", at positions 1 to 608 of the family's 3401-position model. The record is from RNAcentral. Lineage: Eukaryota; Fungi; Ascomycota; Dothideomycetes.